Molecule: microRNA precursor, 90 nt
Filed under: Helianthus annuus (common sunflower)
Lineage: Eukaryota; Viridiplantae; Streptophyta; Magnoliopsida; Asterales; Asteraceae
Also listed under: 1 other name
Description: sRNA HanXRQr2_Chr13g0601451
Rfam family: mir-156 microRNA precursor family
About the family: This family represents the plant microRNA (miRNA) precursor mir-156. Animal miRNAs are transcribed as ~70nt precursors and subsequently processed by the Dicer enzyme to give a ~22nt product.
Source: Rfam by way of RNAcentral
AUGACAGAAGAGAGUGAGCACACAAAGCCAAAUUGUACCGAAGUGACUUGUUGUAUGAUUGUUUUGGGUGCUCACUGCUCUAUCUGUCAU